Molecule: non-coding RNA, 9410 nt
Organism: Cyanistes caeruleus (blue tit)
Lineage: Eukaryota; Metazoa; Chordata; Aves; Passeriformes; Paridae
Source: RefSeq, a predicted model, not a curated record
UCCAUGUAUAACACUCAUAGAUUAUAAUUUUGCAUGGUCAAUGUACAUAAUUAAUAAUUAGUUUACCUUUGUAUGGGGUUAGAGUGGUUGUUAUUGCAUGAUACUUUUGUAUUUUUUUUUAUUACCAUAUUUCACAUGACUCUGUGUGAUUUUCAUUUCUGAAUAAGCUGUUCGUUGCUGUAUUUGCAUGUUUUCCCCUUCCAAUUAUAUAAGAAAAAGCUUGACUUUGUUUCAAAAAUCAGUGCAUUUUGUCAUGUUUCCAUGUCCCAAUGCUUCCAUACAUCCUGUUUAUCCAGCAUGGGGAAUUUCAGCUCUGUCUUUAAGUUUUCAUUUGAAGCUGAAGAUGUUAACUUACAAGGUAACACUGGCAACCAAUGGCAAAUCUGCAGACUUCAAUGUUGUUGAAGAAGAGCCUUGGAAACGUGAAAACUAAGUGAAGAAGUUCCUAGCUGCAUCCUUAAUAAGUCCUGAAGCUAUCUUAUGGCAGAAGAUACCAUGAUUAAAGAAGAAGAUUUCUCUUUCCUUUUUUUUUUUUUUUUUUCCUAUUUAACAUCUACAGUUUCUGCUUAAUUUUGUAACUGAAACGUAGCAAAGAUCUCAUCAAGUCAUUGUAGUGUCUUUGCCAAGCAAUGAUCCAUAGCCAUCUGUCUCCCUUGUGUUACUGUCUGGAUGAUGCACCUGGAGAAUGCUCCAUGCAGUGCAAUGCGCUCUCACCCACUUCCCCUUUCAUUCAAGACACAGAGAAUGUAAAUGCUGCAAAAUGGGAAGAUCAAAGUGCCAGUACAGUUCACUACAGGGACUCAGGGUCACAGAUACAAGAGAAACAUACCACCACGUAAGCCUUCAAGUGUUCUGGUGACUCUUGUGGCAUACCUGAUCUGUUUAUCACUGUAUGGCUAAAAUACCUUUUGAAAACAUCCGUAAAGAUUUCUGUUUGUUUUGAUAAUAACAAGCACUGUACUUUUGUGCCUAGCUGUACUUUGAAUUGAGCUUAGAUCUGGGGGCAGGAUUAAUGCAUAGAAGUCAAUAAAUUAUCCCAGACAUUUUGUUAGAUCAGUACAACUAAAAUUUAGCAUCAAGAGAAGACCUUAGAUUUCUAUGUGCAUGCAGUGUGUUUUUAUCAGAUGUCCCAGGGCAGGUGCAGCCUUUAUUUUAUGCUAGGGCUGUGCUGCUUUGUGACCACAAUAUGCACAAUACAAGGCAGUAUAAUAACAGGGAUGGUAGUUCCUUCACUAAAUCUAUGGCUGAUGAGCAAAAAUACAGAAAACCAUGGACUCAGUUGUGCCAUUUUUAAUCAAAGUAGGUGGUACCUGACUAUCCACCUUGCUCCACUGAUGUCAGAGGGGUUUAUCACAUGGAUGGGAUACUCAAGUAAGGUACUACCAAGAUUGAUUAUGGAUGUCAUAAUUGAGUACUUAAUAAUGAGCUGCAGACAAGUUCUGAACCCAUUACUCUUACAGAAUUUUUGAAUGUGAUCAUCAGUUGCAUUUGCUAUGAAGUGAAAGCCAUCUUUCAAGUAUGUAAUGUUUCAGAGAGUGGCUAAAUCCUGAAUUCAUUGCUAAACCAAAUUCCUUAUAAGGUUAAGAAAAUUUGUCCAGGGUUAGGACUGAAUAAAAAUGAAACCAGAAUUUCAGGAUUUAGGUCAAUAUGUUGAAUUUACAUCUCUGUCUCUUUUGCAGAGUAAUAAGUAUACAACUCCCUAAUGUCAGAGAAAUGUUUCUUUGAGCACAUGUGUCUGACUCAACCUGUCAGAAGAAAUUGCAGUGAGAAUAAACACCUUGUGAAAUUUUUUUUAAGGUGCUUGUUAAUACUUAGCAAUUUUAAGAUACUGGUGAAUACCAUUAUACUGUUAGCAACGUUCCAUAGCAAAGCUGAGCCACGUGGCCUUGGAAGGUUCUACUCACAGAACAAGCUUUGUGCAGUUUUGGGGGAACUCUCAGAAGUUUUCAGAAUGAAUCAGAAUAUGAGCAUAUGGUGAACUUAAAAAUGGCAAGAAACAAACAUUUAUGGAAAUAGGCCAUUCAGUGUCUGCUCAAACCUGUCAUGGGUUUAAAGGGGAAUAAUGUGUUUAACUGUAGAGUGUUACUUGGCUCUGUAGAAGCUAUUAAAGUGAAAAUAUAAUCUGCUUUUGUUCUUCUGCAUUCAUAUAAAUAUCUCUGAAACUGCACACGGACCUAAGCGAGCCAAGGCUACUUGCAUGAUUAAUGAUGUGCAAGAUCAAGUCCAUUGUCAGAGUAUCUCUCAUUUAAGCAUUUAUCGUGGAAUAUUUUCCUUACCACUGUAUUUUUGUCAUCACUUGAAUGCCAUGGCCAAGCAAAUCUUAAGCAAAAUGGCCUAUAUAAUUUAACCAAUAUUGAACCACUGUGAAUUCUGUAGGCCUCUAACAUGUAUUAGAGGGGGAGGCCUUUCCCAAAGGCCUCCUGAAGGAUCUUGAGGAUUUGAUUUUUUAUCUUUUUGUGAAGGAUGGAAUUGUAAGUUGUUCAGAGAAGUGGAAGGCAGGUUGUAUUCUCUUUUCUGCAGUCAUUGCUAUUAGCAUAUCCAGAGUUAACCUCUGUCUAGCUAUUGCUUCCCAAGUAGCAUUCACUGGGUUAUGUGCCAGAAAUGUGCCUGGGAUGGUGUGUAGGUACUGUUAAAUGUUCCCUACUCUGAGGGUGCUGGCUCUCAUCAAGUGAAAUUUGCUGUCACUCGAGUGGUAGUUAUAUCCAAGAAUAACACACAGCAUGUACCCCAUUUUGUAUCCAGCAUUCUUGAGCUGUUUCAUGGCACAGCUCACCCAUUAAUAGAUGAUUUUUCUGCCUCUCCACCACAGCAGUUUCUUAGGAGCAGCGACACUGAUUGCUUGCAUUGAAAGUAGCUUUAGAAAACUGGUCCAUAUACUUUUAGCUGUCAUUUGAAACUGUUUAGCAGUUGGAAACAAACAGGAAUGUCAGCAACAUGUGACUAGGCAGCUCCACAAAAUUACAUAUUGAGAAACACUUAGAAUAUGCUUACAGCUAUCCACUUGGGAUGUAAUGUCCUUUGAAGAGUGCUUCUUUGGAUAGAGACUAGGGAAGGAAGGAAUGCAGUGCUAGAGAAACCCCACCCACAAAUGGGAGAAUAAAUUUGGAUCUUUUGAUAGAAUUAGAAUAGCAGACUGUGAUUUUAAAGUGGUAAUUCUGUAGAUACAGUAACUCAGGGAUUUUUCAAAAUAUAAUUAUGAUGGUAUUUCUCUAUUUAAAUGUGGAUGUGGGAGAAGGAGAAAUGUUGGGUUUCGUAUAUUUCUCUGCUUGUAGCCUGACUGAAUAUUUAAUAUAGUGCUACUCCAGUGCAGCACUGUAUUAAAUCAUCAAAAAGCUUUCCAUUUCUGUGGGAAAAUGUAACUCACUCUUGGCUUUCAUUUCUCGAUUUGCUCAUUCCACGAGGCUGGGUUGCUACUUAACUAGAUAAACAGAAAAUAACCCAGGGACCGUCCACUUCAGCUAAUCCAAGCUUCACGUUUCAGCAGGCAGUGCUGGUUACUGGCCAGCCUCCUUUUGCUUUCACUAGGAGUCUCAAUGCAUUAAUUUGCAUCUGGCAGUUCUUUUUGUAUCUGCUCACAGUGCUGGGGUGGCAAAGUUAAAGAAAAAGCUCAGUGAAAAGUCAUUUGUUUUUUGUGUAGUUCAUAUUAACAUUGUUUGCUGCAUUUGGUGCUCUGUCAGUUCCCCCCACCUUUGUCUGUGCAACUGUGAUAUCCUUUGACCUUUGGAUUGCUGGCAGCACAUUGGCACAUGGAAAAGUCUAGACCAGGCAAAGACUCAGUUCAUUGCAUACUAAAUGACAUACAUGCUUACACACUUGCUUUAUGCAUUUACUGCUGAAGCUGGGUCAGCAUUCUCAUAGUGUCUGUUCGCUGAAAGUAAAGCACACAGCACGUUAGAACUGCAGGAGAGGUGGAGCACUUUGCCGCUUAAAUUGUUUCUUCAUUGCUUCCCUUGAAAACAGCAGCUGCACCAGCCUUUUAAGAAAUGUGUGUGGGUCUUACACACAAAGAUUCUUCAGAUAGGUAGGGCAAAACCCACUUGGUCCUGUUACAAGAUGUGCUCUUUCCUUUUGAAUUGGUGAGAAGCUCAGUACACCUUUGAAAAACUGUUUGCAAUAGUAAAAACUGUAUCUGCAAUGCUUUGACUAUGUGAAAGAUCCAUUGAAAUCUGUGGGAGUCACAACGUUCCAGGAAAAGUCAAGUCCCUUCCUGUCUCUCUUAAGUUAUAAGACAUUUCACAAUCGCAUCCUAGGGAAUAGCCUUCAUCUAUUUAUAAUGAAGUUGAUUCUCACAUCCAAAAGGUUUCUGCCAAGAUACUACUUUUAUACCUAAUUGUUUCAGUGCUGCAAGUCCAACACUGAAUUUAAACUCAGCACAAAAAAAUGCUGAUUUUUCCCAUGGUUUUUUUUUCUGAGAUAUAGCUGAUCUCAAUUUCUUUCUCAAAGCACAUGGAAUUCCAGACUUUAUGCCACUUUAAAAAGUAGGAGUAAUAUAGAUUUCUAAUUUGUUUUCCAUCACUCCCCAGGUCACUAGUUUUCCAGCAGUAGACACGCAGAAGACUAGACUGUUCAUCUGAGAAGCUGAGGCAUCAGCAUGUGAACAAAUUUAUUCUGAUGACUUGCCUGGAUUUUCUUUGCUUCCUUGCCUUCACUUGUGUUAUUGCAGCCUUGUUGUAGCAACGCAGCAGCAGUCGCACAAAUUGCCAUAACUAUAGACAAUAUUAAACCUCCCCUCUAACAUUCACUUCUCUCUUUACCUUUAAAAAGGCUCUGAGCUUUAGUACUGAGCUCAGAAGAAUCCGUUUAUGGAGAUGUAAAGGUAUAACUGUUUCUCAUCUCUUUAAUUUCCAUUCAGCUUUUUUUUAUUGCUGCAUUUGAAUUAAUUUACUGAAGGAUAAAUAAGGGCACUUUAUAAAAAUGUACUGUAAUAUUAUUCUCUUAUGAGCCUGAAGACUAUCUUGGUUUUAUUACUGUGACUUUUAAGGCCACAAUUAAGAUUUUUUUCAUAUUAGCCAUUAUGAUAGGUGUAUAGUCCAUUGGGACAGUUCACCUCAGCUAUAAUUCCGCAUAUAAGAUUAUGUAGAAGCUCCUGUUACCAGCAGAAAGAAUUCUUGGAAAGAUGAGUUAUCUUCUUCUCUCCAGUAAUACUGGUGACUUUGAAGGGAAAAUACUUACCCAGUUAUCUUUGUCUAAAGAAUGAUAGGGAGAGUGUAGUUUCAAGUACUAAAAAGAACAAAGUAUUUACAACAGUGAAGUGUCAAAGGCUGUCAAGCUGUAAAUUGUUCAGUUUUGCCAUGCUGUUUUUGAAAAUGUUGUGUUCUUGCUCAUGAUUUUCCUUAAGCAAUGCAUUUAGUGUCUAUUCCUUCCAAAGUCAUCAAUCUUUCUUCCCCCUUGGGCACCAAGCCUGUGUCUCCCCUCUGACAGCACACAGACUUGAGGCAGGACUCCUGGAGGAGCCCCUGGGAGCAGUGCCUGGUACAGGCUCUGCCAUGGGUGCCUCCCUCAGUUUUUCCUCCUGGUCAUACUUUAUGUUCAAUGGAAAUCUGCUGCUAUGAAUGAGUCAAACCGCUGCUGAUGCCCAGGUGCUGGUAAUUCUUCUCCUUUGAGUGGCCUCCCUGGCACAAGGUUCUGAGGAACUGUCCCUCACAGGUGCCCACCAUCCCAGAGACAUCUUCCAUUAUUUAGGGGAAGCCCAGUGACUCCUCACUAACGGGCUGAUAUAAAUCUAAUGGAUAAAGUGCAGUUACAACUAUGAGUCUUACAUAAAAGCCAGGAUCCAGACACUGGAAAAGCCUAGAGCACAUGAACAAGCCACUGAGUAGGUCUCUACUACUGUCCAGGAUGGACAUAACCAACAGCCUAAUGCACAAUUUGGGGAGACGAGAAGACUUGUGAUGUUUCUCACUUCACCCAACCUUUGAUCCCCUUUCAUUUCUAACUCCAUCCUGCUGCAGAGCCAAUGCUGAUCAAUGCUAGAGCAUCCAGUCCUUCUAGUCUUCUACUCAACACUGAGGAGUCCUGCAGCUGUUUCUGAUGUUGCUCUGUGGCACACACCAUUGCACGGAGGGAAGCUGUCACAGGCAGCAUCACACAACCUGGAUUGUCUCGUACCUGUAUAUUGCUUUGUACAUAAAUAGUGUAGUCUGCUGGAAUUUUUGUAUCGUUCUUUUCAAUUCCUUUUUCUACAGUUUUUCAAAGACUGUAUGCAAACUGUGCUUGCAUAUUGAUUUUGCAGUCAGUAUUGUAGAUUAUAGCAUUUCUGUGUUGGUAUUUUGUAUGGACUUGUGAGUUCUUGUGUACUUCAGGUUGUCCUUCCUACUUAAAGACAACUGCAGACACUUCCAUCCAAUAUAUCCUGCUCCUUUCUUAAAUAUAUCUUAUUUCCUAUGAUCCAGUAUGAACUCUUCUUGUAGAAUGCAUCAGAAAAAGCUGAACGUGUAUUUAUAGUGUUAAAUAUUGUGUGCUCAACACUGAUUUAGUGAAGAAUAGUACAGGUUUUAGGGGUUUGUACUUGUUCCCUGGAAACUACAGUGUAGACUGAAUUAAAUUACCUAGUAUCUGUAAUUUACAGACACACAAAUAUUUUCUUAGAAUGUUUUCUAUGGGAUCAUAUAAGGUAGGGAAGUAAUUCUUUAAAGGUGAUCAAAACCAGUUUUCUUAUGACAUUUAGGAUCAAUGAAAUAUUUUUGUGUUAGUUUUGGUGAUGAAUUAUAGACAAAGCACAAAAUGCAAGAAGCAAAUAAGAAUUUCAAGAUGUCCUUAAAUGCUGCAGUCCAUCAUGGAACAAUACUAUAAUAAUCUGAGCAAUCUUCUAGAUUGACUGUCUUGGGCAAUCAUCCCUCACUUUUAUAAUUUUUCCUGAUGUUACCUUUGCCAAAUCCUGCAGUUCUUCCUUAGGACCUGUUAUUGUAUAACUGACUGGCUCAGAAUGCAGUUUAUAGAAAAUAGAUCAGGGUAGGCAAAAAAUAUGCUGUCAGGAACCCCACCCAUCUUGCUACAAUACAGUGUGUGUGAGUUCAGCCUGCGGAAAAAGUUCAGGAUUUUGCCGCCUAAUUUUGCCUUCUCGAAAAAGGACCAACAGAACCACCAUGGGACCAGUGUAAUUGGGUAGCAUCCAUGCAAAUACCUCCUGUUUUCUUAAGAAUUUUUUAGAGAAUAACCACUAUAUUUUUCAACCCAAAUGACAGUUACUUCUCAUUUUGGUAAUUUCUUCCCAUUAGGCAAAUACCUGUUGGCAUUAAGGCCGUGGCUAUAAUAAUUUCAACUUAAUUAAUAAGGAACAGUUUUUAGAGGAAUAAAAAUAAUAUAAAUAUUUGUAACAACUAUAUAACAAACAAAAAUAAUCUUCUAUGGCCUACUAGCUCUUUGACUGUAAUUCAAAACAAAGAAAACAUCGAAUAGGAAGGACUGCUGUCCCAGUAUGACUGAUACUGGGUAUCUCUUCAACUAUUCAGAAAUCUGUGGGGCCAUGUUAUUCUGCUGAGGUUUUGGAGCCUAAGUUUCUAGUAGAUAUAUAUAUGUAGGAAGUGUGCUGAUAUGCCCUUGUAUUUUGAUCUAUAUUGUAUUUUAAAUCAGAUGUAACAGGUAUUAACUUAAUAGGAAUCACAGGUAGAAUAGUGAUGAGUUACUAAUAGCUGUAAAACCUUAUUGAUACCAGUUUUGACAUUUUGUUGAAGCAUGAUGUCCAGUGCCUCUCUGCACUUAGUGUAGAUAAUGUAGCUAUCAACACGUAAUUUCAGUGAAAUGGUGUAUACAGUAUGUGUAGCUUUAAAUUAAUUUAAUCGGUUUCUGUGUGUUGAGACAUAGUAGAAAAUUAGACUGUGUUUUAACAUUUUGUUCUGCUUUCUCUUUUUCAUUUGUAUCUGGGUUUGUUUGUUUUGACCGUUCAACUGAUUAGGUUCCACAGCUUAGUAACUAAUUUAUCUGUCUCUUAUGGAGUACCCAGUUUUAAUAACAUUCAGAAUCAUGUAUGCAGCCAGACCAUUGUAAAUAUGUUAAUUUUAGUUUUCAACUAUCUAACCAGUAUGGUGUGUGUUAGAAGCUGCAUGUGUGUAGUUCCUUGGCAGUGAGUGAAAGUGAUCCCAGCAUAGAUUUGCUGCCUGGUGAAUACACUUGUUAUGACAUAAAGAAUUAAUGUUCACCUGGAAUGACAAGCCUUUGUUUUAUUUUCUUCUUGUUUGCUUGAAAUGUUUGGACUCUUUGUCACCAGAAGUUUAGUAAGUCACCAUUUAAAUUGGCACAAUGAAUGAAGAGAACUGCAUCUAACUGCAUUCCUGUUGGAUGCCUGGGCUGCUUUUGGCUCCGUGCAUCACUCAGCCCUUAGUCACAUCAGGGCAUCACAGGAUCCCUCUGAGUCACUUCCAGUCACUUCUUGACCACAGAUGCCAGGAAAGCAGAGCAGUCCCACAGCUGUGACUGGGCAAGCCUGCAGGCAGCAAGGGGCUGCCAGUUCUCUCCAGAGUGCCUGAGAAGUCCAAGUAGGAACCUCUGCUUCAUCCAUUCAGAGGAACAGUCUCUGAGAAAGAUGAACACACUCAUGGGCUAAGGGGCACUGUUUCUUUCAUUGUUAAAAAGGGAUAUUGGCAUUUAUUGGAAAAUAAAUACCAAACUAAAUGCUUCUGAAGCUCCUGUGGUCGUUGUACAAGUCUGUUAUUUACAAAAGUAUGUCUGAUAAUAAAAAAAGGUGAUCAACUACACAGUCAGUGGCAAAAAUCUAAAAUCAGAGCUGCAGUUCAGAUCUAUAAGAAAAUAGAACCUUGCAGCAACAAGAAGCUGAUUCAUUCCUAGAUACUCUGGACCUGGAUCGUAUAAAUAUAAUCAUCCCCUCUAGACAGAAAGAAAUAAAAAUUAGGCCCCAAAGCACAGAAACUAUCCUUCUUGGUGAUUCUCAUUAUGAUGCUUCAGGAUGAAUUGCACACUGGAGUUCUCUGUGCUGCCUGCUCAUCAUCCCUUGCCCCUUCUUUAAGGUGACCAGGCAUGAACUGGAAUGUUUUGCGAUGUUCUGUUGUAAAAAGGAUUAAAAAGAAGAGGGAUAAGGUUGGUCUUUACACUCAGAAAGUUCCAGAGAUUUUGAAAUGACAUACUGUACAGUAUCUAUAGCACAGUUUGUUUAGAAAUUAAUAAAUGCAGAUGAUAAAAUUUCUCCCAACCCUGGGCUCUGUUCUUGUAUAUUGUAGUUGGAAUGCCUUGUAGACUGAUUCUAUUUUUGUAGUUCAGGUCCUUUCCUCUUUACAAGGAUUGUUAGUCAUUGGCUUUUAAUGCUUUCUUACAGAGUGAACUGAUUUCUGUAACUUUCAUGUAUAAAACAAACUAGACAUUCUUUCUAUACUGGAAAUAGUCAUGAAUAUAAUGUUUCACUAAGUGUUGUACCUCUUAUGUACAUAUCAUCAAUAAAUGUUGAUUCAUAAUUUUCA